Molecule: ribosomal RNA, 562 nt
Filed under: uncultured bacterium
Lineage: Bacteria
Description: bacterial SSU rRNA
Rfam family: Bacterial small subunit ribosomal RNA
Source: RNAcentral
AGAGUUUGAUCCUGGCUCAGGAUGAACGCUGGCGGCGUGCCUAAUACAUGCAAGUCGAACGCUUUGUGGUCCAACUGAUUUGAAGAGCUUGCUCAGAUAUGACGAUGGACAUUGCAAAGAGUGGCGAACGGGUGAGUAACACGUGGGAAACCUACCUCUUAGCAGGGGAUAACACUUGGAAACAAGUGCUAAUACCGUAUAACACUAAUAACCGCAUGGUUAUUAGUUAAAAGAUGGUCUUGCUAUCACUAAGAGAUGGUCCCGCGGUGUAUUAGCUAGUUGGUAAGGUAAUGGCUUACCAAGGCAAUGAUACAUAGCCGAGUUGAGAGACUGAUCGGCCACAAUGGGACUGAGACACGGCCCAUACUCCUACGGGAGGCAGCAGUAGGGAAUCUUCCACAAUGGACGAAAGUCUGAUGGAGCAACGCCGCGUGUGUGAUGAAGGGUUUCGGCUCGUAAAACACUGUUGUAAGAGAAGAAUGACAUUGAGAGUAACUGUUCAGUGUGUGACGGUAUCUUACCAGAAAGGAACGGCUAAAUACGUGCCAGCAGCCGCGGUAAU